CCGGAUCUGACGCCGCUGAACACGGAUGGAGCAACCUUCCCCAUGCGCUCUGCAGAAAAGGGAGGGGAUCAACAGACGGUAUCAUCAUGGAUGUAUGAUGAUAAUAUUUUUAGACGCCCAAACCAUACGUCCGUAUGUACGAGCACGAGUGAUAGUUUCAGGUUUGUUGUAGACAGCCUAACCACAUGCUUUUAUAAAGCACGACACGUGUAACUAAUUUUCGAACAGCACGUCAAGGAACCAAAUACGGCUAAUUUAUGGAUGCAUAUAAAUCAAUCUACGUGUAUUCGACAAACUAGUAUUAGCAGAGCUAUUUAGUUAGUUAGCCAUCAAGUUGGGCUUCGUAAUAGACGACGAAUAAAUAAUUGACGUCAUUCAACGACAUGUGUGUCCCUGGUGGUCUAGUGGUUAGGAUUCGGCGCUCUCACCGCCGCGGCCCGGGUUCGAUUCCCGGUCAGGGAACUCAUCUUUUGAACUAUCUGCAUUUCUAUUCUCGACAUUUAUGAUUCGAAUGGAGUUUAACUAAUUUCCUAUUUAACGAAUGGUCUUUUCCUACUUUAAUACUGUUUCAAUGUAUUUAUAUUUGACAUAUAUUGAGAGCUUUAAAACAUUGUUCAUAAAUGUAUAAACCAUACAUUUUUUCACUUGUAGCAGAGAUUUAGGCUACGUAACAAAGAAAAAGAAAGUUUUUAAAGGUUGGCUGAACAAAUUGGCAUCGCCGUGUAGUGGCGAAUGUGUCCCUGGUGGUCUAGUGGUUAGGAUUCGGCGCUCUCACCGCCGCGGCCCGGGUUCGAUUCCCGGUCAGGGAACUCAUCUUUUCUUAGCUUAGAAAACCGUCUUAAAUCAAGGCCUUCCUAUUUCGACUUUAUGAUUCGAGAGUCUAUUCCAGUUUUUAAUUUUUUACCGUUAAUCAUCACCAUGAUGUUAAGCAUUUUGACUACCUCAAAAUCGAAAUAACAAUAAAUACAAAAGCAAUUUUUAUAUUCCAUUGAACAAUGAACAGGGCUGAAUCCCAGUACAUAAAUUGGGGGGAGAAAAAUUGGCCAUAGCGGUCAUAUUUUGCUGUCAACUUCUGUAAAGGUUUAUUUUUAGUCCAACAGGCAUCAUUUUUAUUUUUAUUCAUAACAUUAACAGUAGGCAAUAGGCAUAUGUGGGUAGUCCGCCCUAUCUUUUGAAGAAUGUGUGAUGCGAUCCGUCUCGAAGGCAACAGAGAAAGAACGGAUAUUUACUCACCACACUCCACCAUGACCUCAUACGUCUUACUCUUGACUUCGCCCCUCAGGCCCAGUUUGCUGCGUGCUCCUUUCAGGUCCUCCUCCUUCAUAACUGGUCGCUUCUUCUUUUU
Gadus macrocephalus (Pacific cod) is the source of this 1345-nucleotide long non-coding RNA. RefSeq lists it as uncharacterized. The transcript has 2 exons. Lineage: Eukaryota; Metazoa; Chordata; Actinopteri; Gadiformes; Gadidae. The record is from RefSeq and is a predicted model, not a curated record.